Molecule: long non-coding RNA, 265 nt
Organism: Archocentrus centrarchus (flier cichlid)
Lineage: Eukaryota; Metazoa; Chordata; Actinopteri; Cichliformes; Cichlidae
Exons: 2
Source: RefSeq, a predicted model, not a curated record
UUUAAACACGCCCUUAUUCUUGCACUUAUAUCACUGGCAGCUAACAGUGUGUGAUUAAUGUUCAGCUCAGUUUCACUUCUAUAGACGUCUUGGUGCUGAUUGUUUCUUCCUUUCUUCAGACAAAGGAAAACACUGGAUGUACAUGACAACUAUUGAUUAACUGCUGAAAGAAAGUCAUCAAAAAUGGGAAACGCACCAUCAGAGAGCAACAUGGGCAACAACCUGAGAUGCUGGAAGUGUUAUAAAUUACUUCCUCCAUGCAAAA